UGCCAGCCGCCGCGGUAAUACGAAGGUCCCAAGCGUUGUUCGGAAUUACUGGGCGUAAAGCGCGCGUAGGUGGUUUAUUGAGUUGGAUGUGAAAUCCCCGGGCUCAACCUGGGAACUGCAUCCAAAACUAAUUCACUAGAGUACGAUAGAGGGAGGUAGAAUUCACAGUGUAGCGGUGGAAUGCGUAGAUAUUGUGAAGAAUACCAAUGGCGAAGGCAGCCUCCUGGAUCUGUACUGACACUGAGGUGCGAAAGCGUGGGUAGCAAACAGGAUUAGAUA
RNAcentral lists this ribosomal RNA (279 nucleotides) under uncultured bacterium. RNAcentral describes it as "partial 16S ribosomal RNA". It matches the Rfam family "Bacterial small subunit ribosomal RNA", at positions 506 to 784 of the family's 1533-position model. The record is from RNAcentral.